AAUCCUUGGUGAGGGCACCUUCUCAAAUGGUCCUUGUAUCUCUCCCAUUCAUCGUAGAGUGUUUCUAUAACCAUCUGCAGAAAAGAAGAGAUACCAUUAAGUAAUU
Small nucleolar RNA from Gossypium arboreum, 106 nucleotides. Lineage: Eukaryota; Viridiplantae; Streptophyta; Magnoliopsida; Malvales; Malvaceae. The record is from RefSeq and is a predicted model, not a curated record.